UCCGACUGUGUGACCUACGUCAAUAUUCCUGUUAGUCCCACAUCCAAGAAGCAGCUCAACUACAUGGAGCUGGAGCUGCAGGAGCCGGGCCCCCGAGGGACCGUCCCCAACCUGCCCUCUCAGAGAAAAAGCUCCACCAAGUACGCCCAGAUAGACAUCACCGCCACAGAGACGGCCCACAAAGUGGGGACGCAGCACGCCCUGGGCCGGCAGGAGGGCCUGCACACUCUGGAGCUGAGGAGGAAGGGGACGCCACACUGAGUUCUCCAUCUCUGAACUAUUGAUCUCAGCGGGAUGUGUUUUAAGACCAGCAUACUGCAUCAAACUGUAAAGUUAAACAGUUAACACUGUUUCCAAAAGAUCCUCUGAGGAUCCACUAGAUCCACUCAAGACAUUCUUAGAUCCAGAUUCAACCGUCUCACAAAGGUUUGGCACAGGAUCAGGAGCAACAUUUCAGUCUUGGUGAUCUUUGUGGACUGGGGCAUCUCAUUAAAUGGCAUUAUGUCAGACCGGAGCCCCGGGCUAACUAUGAGGAAGAUGUGCCAGAGCUGAGCUGAGUCACUGAUAAACCACAGCAGAGUUAUCUCACACUCUGAACACGCAGUAUGCUCUUUUUGUCCUUGUUUGGAAGGAUGAGGCAGGAGAGGGAAGCAGGAACGGUCUUUAUUCUCACCAGGAGUUCACACGCAGUUAUUCUAUCAGUGGAUUCACCAAACUCACUUUUAUAAUAGAUUCAUAUUUGGGGAAACUUUUCAUCCAGUCUUACUCAGAACGCUCACUGAGAACUGAGAACGGGAUAAUUAAUACUUCUGCAUAAUGAUUUUUCCUGGGGGUAACUAAUGGAUCGGUGUUUAUCAUGAACAAAAUCUCAAUGCUGCUAUUGUUUUUUCUGUUCUUCAAAGUUAAUAUGGAAUAGGAUUUACUCUGCAAAAGUUGUCAUAAAUAAUACAAAGCAGAGAAGAUGGUGAAAAUUAUUGGAUUUUCUUAGAGAGUUCCCCCACAGUUACCUGUAGAGCUUUUUAUCAUUCUAGAUAGUUUUAGGAUGAGUUGGUACUCUGUUCAACACUGCUUUCUAGUACAAUUCCUCUGAAACAAUCUGGAUUGAUGAGUAGCACUCCAGCUAAGUGGAAACUAUGAACUAUGUAUUUUAUCACUGUGCAACAACACAUGUCUCCCAGAACUGACUGCUGGCUCUCAUGGCCAUCAUUUGUGAAAAUGAUGUAUGUUAAAAACAAGUUUGAAGUUUUCAUGUUUUACUCACUGAAGUGGUUAAAAUCUUUUUUUAUUAUUAUUAUUCCAAAUUGUGUGUGUGCACAUAGGCAUUUUCCCAAAACUGCAAUUAAAAAAAACAAAAAAAUAGAUAUUUGGUAGGUGUUUUGUAGAGAUAUUUCAAUCGUCCCCUCCUUGAAUUUUUAUUUUGAUAUCUGU
Centropristis striata (black sea bass) is the source of this 1428-nucleotide long non-coding RNA. RefSeq lists it as uncharacterized. The transcript is spliced from 2 exons. The record is from RefSeq and is a predicted model, not a curated record. Lineage: Eukaryota; Metazoa; Chordata; Actinopteri; Perciformes; Serranidae.